Molecule: long non-coding RNA, 932 nt
Organism: Gorilla gorilla gorilla (western lowland gorilla)
Lineage: Eukaryota; Metazoa; Chordata; Mammalia; Primates; Hominidae
Exons: 2
Source: RefSeq, a predicted model, not a curated record
CUCACAUUCUAAACACAGGCGCCAAACUCUCUACAUGCAGGACCUGCUAAAAGAACAUCCCCAUGGAAUCUAGGCCAUCACCACCUCCAGGUGAUAGAACUUAGCUUCAUCUCUGGUGGAGGGCAGAGCCUCAAGCAAUGUGAACCCAAUGAAGAAAUUAUUUCCAGCCCUGGAUCGUCCUCUCCAAGGUUGCUGAAGCCAACCAGAGGCACACAUGGAGAUUCCCAAGCAAGUCACAAGGACGGGAGCAGAAUCAGACUCCCUCAGCACAUGGCCGAGAGAGUGUGCAGGGGCAGGUGUGGGAGCCCUGAGCUCCUGUCUGGCUCUGCUUCUGUUCAUCUGUGCCUCUGUACCAUCACUGCUCCACUCUGUCAUUCCAUCACCUCCGAAGGGGGUCUGCCAGGUCAUCUGCUGCUUCACAGUUGCCUUCCCACUAGAAAAUCCCAUGAUUCCAAUGGCACGUCCCCCAGCGUCUAGUGGAGCUGCCUGCAUUUGAAAGGACAAUUUCCAGGGAACAAGGGAGGCAACUAUAGGGGCUCUAGCCCCUGGCACCGCAUGGGGACUUGGUGUCAUAGCAUUUGCCAGCCUGCUGCAGCUACCCCCAGACACGAGGGAAGGCAGCAAGCAGAAAAAUUGCCUUCACAACCUCAAGAAGCGGGUAUAUUGGCACAACAGCUUCUGUGGUUGAAGAAAAAAAUGAACAGGUUUAAAGCAAGCACAUCAAGCUGUUUUUGAGUGCACUUAAUGGCUGCCCAGACGUGCAAGCCCCUUUUAAAAGCAGAGUGACUUCACUAAUAAUAGAGCUCCGUUAUUCUUUAUCACUGACUCUCAACUCUGCUCCACAUUUCCCCUUGGUGUUCUGCUCACUAACCUGUUUAUCCUCUCUUAGAAACCUACACUUAAAGGCAACAUAAAAUACAGCAUGACACUAA